GAUGAAGAACGCAGCGAAAUGCGAUAAGUAAUGCGAAUUGCAGAAUUCCAGUGAGUCAUCGAAUCUUUGAACGCACAUUGCGCCCUUUGGUAUUCCGAAGGGCAUGCCUGUUCGAGCGUCAUUAUCACCCCUCAAGCCCUCGGCUUGGUGUUGGACGGUUUGGUGGAGGCCCCUUCGGGGGCUCCUGCCCCUCCCAAAGACAAUGACGGCGGCCUCGUUGGACCCCCGGUACACUGAGUUCUUCACGGGACACGUAUCGGACACAUGGGUUUACGGGACACGGUCUGCCUCCCCUCAGGGAGAAUCUUUCUAAGGUUGACCUCGGAUCAGGUAGGGAUACCCGCUGAACUUAAGCAUAUCAAUAAGCGGAGGA
This 373-nucleotide unclassified non-coding RNA is filed under the name soil metagenome. Its description in RNAcentral is "partial contains 5.8S ribosomal RNA, internal transcribed spacer 2, and large subunit ribosomal RNA". The stretch from base 1 to 121 matches the Rfam family "5.8S ribosomal RNA", at positions 35 to 154 of the family's 154-position model. The record is from RNAcentral.